CUCCAAGAUGAGAUUUCCCUUGGCCUUCGGGCCACUGAAGACUCCUUGAAGACUACAAGGUUGAUAGGCUGGAGGUGUAAGCGCAGCAAUGUGUUCAGCCGACCAGUACUAAUCAGUCGUGAGGCUUGACCAU
Molecule: ribosomal RNA, 133 nt
Filed under: Spirochaetota bacterium
Lineage: Bacteria; Pseudomonadati; Spirochaetota
Description: Spirochaetes bacterium (freshwater sediment metagenome) partial 23S ribosomal RNA
Rfam family: Bacterial large subunit ribosomal RNA
Source: RNAcentral